GGUAAGGAUAACGUCGAGAAAUCGGCGCUAAUACCUCAUAAUGCAGCGGAUCCGCACUUGGAUUAUGUUGUUUAAAGGGUUUAACCGCCUUUGGGAUUAGGCUUGCGUCUGACUUAGUUAGUUGGUGUGGUAACGGCACACCAAGGCUACGAUCAGUAACUGGUCUGAGAGGAUGAUCAGUCACACUGGAACUGAGACACGGUCCAGACUCCUACGGGAGGCAGCAGUGAGGAAUAUUGGGCAAUGCUCGAAAGAGUGACCCAGCAACGCCGCGUGGAGGAUGAAGGUAUUCUAUAUCGUAAACUCCUGUGAGAGCAGACGAAAGACAGAUUAUUAAUCUGGAUGACUGUAUGCUCAGAGGAAGCCCCGGCUAACUACGUG
This 381-nucleotide ribosomal RNA is filed under the name uncultured bacterium. RNAcentral's name for it is "bacterial SSU rRNA". It matches the Rfam family "Bacterial small subunit ribosomal RNA", at positions 135 to 507 of the family's 1533-position model. The record is from RNAcentral.